AAUCAGAUGCUUCCGAGUUGAAUCCUUGGUGGAAAACAUGGCUGAACUCCGAUAAAAAAAAAGAUUAACAAUUUUGUAAACAUUGACAUUGGAAAUGAUAUCUUCAAAAGCAAGUGCAUGAGUAACAACAUAUGUGAGAAUUGCUAAAUGCCCCAAAAAUCGGUUUAAACAAAACUGUCAUGCAAGCUAUACAUCUAAAUAAACGGGGACUUAAUAUACUUAUACUAAUCUAGGGGAUAAAAUGAAGUUAAGGUAUCCUUUCAGUAUUGUUUCCAAGCAAAUCCCUUCAUAGCUUUACACCAGAAGUCUAAAAAAUUGCCACGACCAGAAGACUAAUAGUGAUAAUCUGAACCACCGAGGUAAGCUUACAUUCUAGAUCACUCAAUCCUGUUGAAGGCAAAUUAAGGAGUUAAUUACAUUUUAGAUUCAGAUACAAUAGACAGAUACGUAAGAUGCAUCACUAUUAUGUGGAUAAAUAAGUUCAAUGAAUACAUGUUAGAAUUGCAAGACGAUGAUGUUGUUCAUACCAAAUAGUAUCCCAUCGCUACUCAUGUGUGUAUGAGUUAUGGAUCAUAUAGGGAGAUACAAUAUCUUGGUAGUUCGUGCAAUGCAUAAAGGUAAGUUCAGGUAUGAAUCUUUCUUGGUGAUUGUAUCCCCAUCAAGUCAAGUUGGUCCUUCCUGCAGCUAGCUGCACCAAGCAUUGCUCUAUUACAGGUACACAUAUAGUAGAAGGAUUUAGAUUCUCUACUUUAUUGUCUAAAACCAACAAGGAAUAAUAAAAAUAAUAUUUGACCAAAGCUGUUGCAACUUCUCUAGCAAAUUUCGAUGAAGAUUAUCUAUUGUUAUUGUCUAAAACCAAGAAGGAAUAAUGAAAAUAAUAUUUGAUCAAGGCUGUUGCAACUCCUCUAGCAAAUUUCUGCUAAGCUCUGCUAAGCAUAACAUGCAAUCUUACUAUAUGUAUUAUCACAGCCAACCACUAAUGCACAUCUUCAGCCAAAUAACUACAGAGGAGUAGAGUGGAAUCAUACAGUACCUAUGACCAGGACAACAAUCUUUUUUGCUGGAACUAUUUUUUAUGGGACCAGCCAAAACUUUUGCUGCGACCUGGCAGGAGCGAGCCAUUGUUUUUGCUGGAAAUGACGAGUUUUUUGGCCGUAAACAUUUUGUUGGAACAAAAUAUAAAUAGCAUUAACUAACAGCAAGGCUAUUGGAUCUUGACACCGAAAUAGUCAAUUAAAUAAGUAGAAGUUGUGAGGAACUACUGCUAUUUAAAAACAGAGGCAUAUUCUGUUGAUCAAAUCAGUAGGGUUUUUUUAACUGAAAAGGCCUUUCCGUUAAGCAAAAAACCUUAGAUAAAUCAUUAUUCAUGCACCUUGCCAAUUAGCACAAAUAGAGAUGCAAAUUAUCCCAGAGAGUUAGAAGACCCAAAAAAAUUAACCCGCACAUGGUGCACUCACACAUAAGAGAAGACCCAAGCAGAGCGAUCAAGCCAUGCAAUUCAAGUUAUUAAAAUACUAAUUAGUUAUUGUAUCUCGACGGAUAGUCUUAUCUAAAAACAAUUAAACGAUAUGGAGUAGUUUGCAAGGAGUAUAUACAUACUAUUUUUUCAAAUGGGAUAUAUACAACUAUUCUCAGAGUAUAUGCCUAUGAUACUGGCAAUAACGAUCAGUGUAUACUCAUUGUCACAAAGGAGUGUAUGGUGUGUUUUCUUUUCAAAUGAUAGUAUACUAUUUUUCGCAAAGGGGUAUAGAAGAGAGGGCCUUUCUGUAUGGUGUGUUUCAGUAUCGAUCAACAGUAUAUGUUUCUUUCUGUCUUGUCGUACAUAUACUUCACUGCUGAGGAGAAAGUAUACACCAAAAAAAUUAAGUACUGAACCAAGGGAAACCUGUGAGGAGAAGCAUGCAUGCAUCCGGUGAGAAAAAGUAAAAGUGAUAAAAAGUAGUAUAUACUUGAACAAAAGUAGUAUAUACUAUAUUAUCUGAAAAAGUAAGAAGAAUGAAUUUCAAAUACUCGUGGCAAUUUAAAUGAUAGACAAAAGUAGUCUUUGAUGACAGAUGCAAAUUGAUGACACUGCAGUAUGUACCUCAGGUCAGACAAAGUUCCGGCGAACAGUCGAGUACGAGAAGUGUACAGCCACGCGAGGUCGGAAACGUGAGGCGCAACGAUAAGCCAAAAAACUUCAUAUUAUCCAACCUUGCAUUAGAAUCCAAAAGGGUUCAGUGAUGUGUGCCUCUCUCUCUGCUCUCUCUGUUCCUCUCAUAUUUCUCCUUUUUUCUCACCAAAAUACAACGCAAGAGAACAUAUGAUAUACGUCCAUCCGUCGUGAAAAUGACAAUGCUCUAUUUAUAAUUGACACAUUGUUAUGAGUCCAAACUAAAUAAGGUCUCGUCAAUUCUGGGAUUAAGAAAUUGGAAGCACCUUAUAUAUUUGUUCUAUAUUGCAAAAACAACACUGCUUCAUUUGACAGGACUACAACACUCAGCCGUAGAGAGAAAAGGUUGCCAAACCUGAGGAUUAAACCGCAGCCUCCAUGGAUGAAAGUGGAAUUGGACAGUCAGCUUAAGUGCUGGGGUAGCCGGGUGGUACUGUCCCUAGAUCGUUCCCUUAGCUCAAACAUACUGGCUUUUGCGUCGUCGAUGUCGUGUUGUAACUCAGCACUUGCAC
RNAcentral lists this long non-coding RNA (2664 nucleotides) under Triticum aestivum (bread wheat). RNAcentral's name for it is "long non-coding RNA (TAES_LNC001513)". The record is from RNAcentral. Lineage: Eukaryota; Viridiplantae; Streptophyta; Magnoliopsida; Poales; Poaceae.